CCUACGGGUGGCAGCAGUGAGGAAUAUUGGUCAAUGGUCGGGAGACUGAACCAGCCAAGCCGCGUGAGGGAGGAAGGUACAGAGUAUCGUAAACCUCUUUUGUCAGGGAACAAAGGCGGGGACGUGUCCCCGGAUGAGUGUACCUGAAGAAAAAGCAUCGGCUAACUCCGUGCCAGCAGCCGCGGUAAUACGGAGGAUGCGAGCGUUAUCCGGAUUUAUUGGGUUUAAAGGGUGCGCAGGGGGGUUGUUAAGUCAGCGGUGAAAGCCCGGGGCUCAACCCCGGCCCUGCGUUGGAUACUGGCAGUCUUGAGUUGGAGAGAGGUAUGCGGAAUGCGCGGUGUAGCGGUGAAAUGCAUAGAUAUCGCGCAGAACUCCGAUUGCGAAGGCAGCAUGCCGGCUCCACACUGACGCUGAGGCACGAAAGCGUGGGUAUCGAACAGGAUUAGAUACCCUAGUAGUC
RNAcentral lists this ribosomal RNA (460 nucleotides) under uncultured bacterium. Its description in RNAcentral is "partial 16S ribosomal RNA". It matches the Rfam family "Bacterial small subunit ribosomal RNA", at positions 338 to 795 of the family's 1533-position model. The record is from RNAcentral.